RNA transcript from Cimex lectularius (bed bug), 760 nucleotides. RefSeq lists it as uncharacterized. The record is from RefSeq and is a predicted model, not a curated record. The transcript has 5 exons. Lineage: Eukaryota; Metazoa; Arthropoda; Insecta; Hemiptera; Cimicidae.
UUCUCUUUUAAUGGCAUUUUAUGACUGAAUCGUUCAAUGAGACAGUGAACGAUUCAUUCGCGAACCAGUUCCUACGAUUGACGAUUCCCCACGCGGGUACAGAUGUUUGAAAAUAAAUCCCUUGUUUAUUAUAAAAAUAACUUUUAUGUUGAUGUUAAUGUUAUGAUAUUGUUUAUGUAAAAUGUCAGUCUCAAACGUUUGCGUCUUAAUCAAUGAAAUUCCAACGGAAAUAGUCAUCACAUAUUUUGAAGAUAAAUUGUUUAUCAUUUUGACACAGUAUAAAAAGUCAGGCUCAUUGAUUCUCGUUAAAAAAGAAAACAUUCGAUCGCUCGAAGAUCAUGAAGAAGUGUACAAACUGACGUUGCUUUUAGGACAAGAGGAAAGCAAUACUUUGGCGUUUGUAAGAACAAUCUCAGAACAUGUAAAAAUCCCCAAAAAUACAUUGUUUUCUAUUGGUCUCAAAGAUUACUCAAUACCGACUCUAAACGCUAUAGUCAGCAUGCUUAACAAAAUAAAAAAAUGGUUUACUUUGUAUUUGUCUUCUGAUAUUAGGCUUCAAAGCCUGUUUUUGUAAUAAAUAAACUAAGGAUAAAAGUUCAACCCUACCAUCUCGAAAAUAUUCUGCAAUAAAUUCAAUUUUAAUCAGGUGAUGUCUUUGGCUCACAGGUCUGAUUUAAUUAUUAAACAUUAAACUUUGUAAGAUAAAAAGCAACAUUGUAAUUAUUCUUGCUGUUAAAUAAAGAAUUAUAUGACAUCAUUA